RNAcentral lists this ribosomal RNA (440 nucleotides) under uncultured bacterium. Its description in RNAcentral is "bacterial SSU rRNA". It matches the Rfam family "Bacterial small subunit ribosomal RNA", at positions 958 to 1398 of the family's 1533-position model. The record is from RNAcentral.
AACGCGAAGAACCUUACCUACCUUUGAAUCCACGGAAUCUGUCAGAGAUGAUGGAGUGCCUUCGGGAACCGUGAGACAGGUGCUGCAUGGCUGUCGUCAGCUCGUGUCGUGAGAUGUUGGGUUAAGUCCCGUAACGAGCGCAACCCUUAUCCUUAGUUACCAGCGAGUAAAGUCGGGGACUUUAAGGAGACUGCCGGUGAUAAACCGGAGGAAGGUGGGGAUGACGUCAAGUCCUCAUGGCCCUUACAGGUAGGGCAACACACGUGCUACAAUGGCCGGUACAGAGGGUAGCCAACCCGCGAGGGGGAGCCAAUCUCAAAAAGCCGGUCGUAGUCCGGAUUGGAGUCUGCAACUCGACUCCAUGAAGCUGGAAUCGCUAGUAAUCGCGGAUCAGCACGCCGCGGUGAAUACGUUCCCGGGCCUUGUACACACCGUAGUAC